This 216-nucleotide ribosomal RNA is filed under the name Glomeromycotina sp. RNAcentral describes it as "partial small subunit ribosomal RNA". The stretch from base 40 to 216 matches the Rfam family "Eukaryotic small subunit ribosomal RNA", at positions 686 to 864 of the family's 1831-position model. Lineage: Eukaryota; Fungi; Glomeromycota. The record is from RNAcentral.
GGGUCAGUAGGUUGGUCGUGCCACCGGUACGUACUGGUCUCACUGAUUCCUCCUUCCUGAAGAACCGUAAUGCCAUUAAUUUGGUGUUGCGGGGAGACAGGACUGUUACUUUGAAAAAUUUAGAGUGUUUAAAGCAAGCUAACGCUUGAAUACAUUAGCAUGGAGUAAUGAAAUAGGACGAUCGAUCCUAUUUUGUUGGUUUCUAGGAUUGACGUA